This 303-nucleotide ribosomal RNA is filed under the name uncultured bacterium. RNAcentral describes it as "partial 16S ribosomal RNA". It matches the Rfam family "Bacterial small subunit ribosomal RNA", at positions 507 to 807 of the family's 1533-position model. The record is from RNAcentral.
AGCAGUCGCCGCGGGAAUACGAAGGGCGCAAGCGUUACUCGGAAUUACUGGGCGUAAAGGGCUCGCAGGCGGUUUCUUAAGUCUGAUGUGAAAGCCCCCGGCUCAACCGGGGAGGGUCAUUGGAAACUGGGAAACUUGAGUGCAGAAGAGGAGAGUGGAAUUCCACGUGUAGCGGUGAAAUGCGUAGAGAUGUGGAGGAACACCAGUGGCGAAGGCGACUCUCUGGUCUGUAACUGACGCUGAGGAGCGAAAGCGUGGGGAGCGAACAGGAUUAGAUACCCGUGUAGUCCCUGUCUCUUAUAC